This 663-nucleotide ribosomal RNA is filed under the name uncultured Bacteroidales bacterium. Its description in RNAcentral is "bacterial SSU rRNA". It matches the Rfam family "Bacterial small subunit ribosomal RNA", at positions 68 to 723 of the family's 1533-position model. Lineage: Bacteria; Pseudomonadati; Bacteroidota; Bacteroidia; Bacteroidales. The record is from RNAcentral.
UCAGUUUGGUUUGCUUGCAAACCAAAGCUGGCGACCGGCGCACGGGUGAGUAACACGUAUCCAACCUGCCUCAUACUCGGGGAUAGCCUUUCGAAAGAAAGAUUAAUAUCCGAUAGCAUAUAUUUCCCGCAUGGGUUUUAUAUUAAAGAAAUUCGGUAUGAGAUGGGGAUGCGUUCCAUUAGUUUGUUGGCGGGGUAACGGCCCACCAAGACUACGAUGGAUAGGGGUUCUGAGAGGAAGGUCCCCCACAUUGGAACUGAGACACGGUCCAAACUCCUACGGGAGGCAGCAGUGAGGAAUAUUGGUCAAUGGACGCGAGUCUGAACCAGCCAAGUAGCGUGAAGGAUGACUGCCCUAUGGGUUGUAAACUUCUUUUAUAUGGGAAUAAAGUGGUCCACGUGUGGAUUUUUGUAUGUACCAUAUGAAUAAGGAUCGGCUAACUCCGUGCCAGCAGCCGCGGUAAUACGGAGGAUCCGAGCGUUAUCCGGAUUUAUUGGGUUUAAAGGGAGCGUAGGCGGAUUGUUAAGUCAGUUGUGAAAGUUUGCGGCUCAACCGUAAAAUUGCAGUUGAUACUGGCAGUCUUGAGUGCAGUAGAGGUGGGCGGAAUUCGUGGUGUAGCGGUGAAAUGCUUAGAUAUCACGAAGAACUCCGAUUGCGAAGGCA